This 1455-nucleotide ribosomal RNA is filed under the name metagenome. RNAcentral describes it as "bacterial SSU rRNA". It matches the Rfam family "Archaeal small subunit ribosomal RNA". The record is from RNAcentral.
UCCAGUUGAUCCUGCUGGAGGUCACUGCUAUUGGAGUUCGACUAAGUCAUGCAAGUCGAGGAAUCACCCUUGGUUCCUGGCGGACGGCUCAGUAACACGUAGGUAACCUACCCUUUGGACUGGGAUAAACUCGGGAAACUGAGUACAAUACCGGAUGAGCGAUAAGAACUGGAAUGUUCUAUCACUAAAAAAGGCACGAGAAUUGGAUCGUGCUCUGCCAAAGGAUGGGCCUGCGCCGGAUUAGGCAGAUGGCGGUGUAAUGGACCACCAUACCUAAGAUCCGUUGGGGCGUUGAAAGAUUAGCCCCGAGAAGGGCACUGAGACAAGGGCCCUAGCCCUAAGGGGUGCAGCAGAUGCGAAAACUUCACAAUGCGCGCAAGCGUGAUGAGGGAACUCCAAGUGCGCCCUCGUUGAGGGUGCUGUGGUAGAGUGUAAACAGCUCUGCAAGAAAGGAGUGGGCAAUACCGGUGCCAGCAGCCGCGGUAAUACCGGAGCUUCGAGUGGUGACCAUUAUUAUUGGGCCUAAAGCAUCCGUAGCCGGAAUCGUAAGUCCUCGGUGAAAUCGUUGCGCUCAACGUAACGGCGUGCCGAGGAUACUGCGUUUCUCGAGAUCGGGAGGGGUCAGAGGUAUUCCUGGGGUAACGGUAAAAUGUGAUAAUCCUAGGAGGACCACCAGUGGCGAAGGCGUCUGACUAGAACGAGUCUGACGGUGAAGGAUGAAAGCUAGGGGAUCAAAACGGAUUAGAUACCCGUGUAGUCCUAGCUGUAAACGCUGCCCGUUGGGUGUUGCACGUCCCUAGAGGGCGUGCAGUGCCGAAGCGAAGGCGUUAGACGGGCCGCCUGGGGAGUACGGUCGCAAGGCUGAAACUUAAAGGAAUUGGCGGGGGAACACACAAGGGGUGAAGCGUGCGGUUUAAUUGGAUUCAACACCAGGCACCUCACCGGAAGCUAUAGCAGUAUGAAGGUCAGUCUGAAGGGCUUACCUAACGUGCUAAGAGGUGGUGCAUGGCCGCCGUCAGCUCGUGCCGUAGGGUGUCCUGUUAAGUCAGGUAACGAGCAAGACCCUCACGCUUAGUUGCUAACCGAGCUCCACGGAGCGCGGCGCACACUAAGCGGACUGCCCCUGUAAAGUGGAGGAAGGUGUGGGCAACGGUAGGUCAGUAUGCCCCGAAUCUGCCGGGCAACACGCGCGCUGCAAUGGCUGGCACAAUGGGACGCAACCCCGAAAGGGGAAGCAAACCCCCCAAAUCCAGCCCCAGUUUGAAUUGAGGGUUGCAACUCACCCUCAUGAAAACGGAAUCCCUAGUAAUCGCGUUACACCCGAUCGCGAUGAAUACGUCCCUGUUCCUUGCACACACUGCCCAUCAAACCAAUCAAGUUGAGUAUGGGUGAGGCAUUACUUGCGGGUAGUGUCGAACCCGUGCUCGAUGAGAGGGGUUAAGUUGUCACAAGGUA